Molecule: long non-coding RNA, 5597 nt
Organism: Cervus elaphus (red deer)
Lineage: Eukaryota; Metazoa; Chordata; Mammalia; Artiodactyla; Cervidae
Exons: 3
Source: RefSeq, a predicted model, not a curated record
CUUUUCUAAAGAAGACACACCUGUAUGUCACAAUUUCUGUCUUCCUGCUUCCAGGAAGGCUGUGAGCAGUGGUGGACCCUGGCGUUGAAGGAUGCCUUGCGCCCUCAACUGAGAUGGUUCCGCUUCAGCCCAGGCUCUUCCCUCACUUCCCUGUCACCCCAGCUCCAAAUACCUGGAAGACCUGGGCUUGCUUCUAGAGCAGUCUGGCCUUUGAAGAGACCUGUGUUGCCAUGUUAUGGAAAUCACCACACAACGAGGUGUCAGGCAUGGUGGAGGCCAGCCCAGAGCCAGCAGAGUCACUUCUACACAUAGCAGUUAACUGGUUUAGCUACGCAUGUCCCAUCACCGAAGAACCAGAUAUUAAAUGUGGCUGAGAAAGUGACGUAGCUUCGACUAAGACAAGUCUUCACGUCCCAUUUCUGCCUUUCUCAAACCCCUGUGAAACACUAAAGGGAAGGCAUCAUGUACAUUUCGAUUAGAUAUUUUCAAGACUUAGAAGAAAGGACAUUGGAACAGGACAGCAGUGGGAAUCCCCUGGGAAGGUUCCACCAACCAGUUUCCUCUCCUUUGUCAACUUUGUCACCUGGGCGAUGUUACAGAGGGAUGCGUUUUUGAAAGAGUCCGUGGACGUGGAGGCAGGUGGAGUGGUUUGCAAGCACAAAGAGGCAAUUUUCGGCUUCGUCGGAUGCAGACUAAGACGUUAAUUUGGGUGGUGAGAGAAGAUGCGUCACCAAGAGUGGCCAUUUCAAUUUUAGAUAUAAUAAUAUAUUGUGAUAACUGCAACAGAUUGUUGUACCUCAAGUAACCCAGAGAUGAUGAAACCGAAAAAGAAUGACUUUUAUUCUUCAGUUUCUGGCUCCUCACUGACCUCUCCCUCGGAGUUUGAAAACAUCCACCAGAAAUCUAUUUGGGAACACCACAGAGGGGCGUAAACUCGGGGGAGAACCCUCCUCAUUCAGAUGAGUAAGUGAAGGAACUAGGGACUUGGGGGGGGGCACUUCUGGGAGCCUGUUCUCUUCAGGGCAGCUGAGGGCUUCUCAAACGGAGGGGGAGUUCUGUCUGCUGUUGGGUAGAAGGUGGGAAGCAGAGGAAUUCACUUGAACUCUGUGGUCAGGCAGGAGCAUCUUGGAAGGCUAAGGAAGUUGGAAAGUUGAAAAUUGGCUAAUGAAAAACAGAGCGAUAUGCUGUAACACAGGCCGAACAAUGAGGAACAUUUAAGCUGGGGAACCAAGGAUGCCAGUGGGACUUGGACAUAAUCUUUCUAAAAUAUGGUCAAGUAAAAGGACUCAGAUGCAAUUUCUUUUUUUUUUUUUUAACCUGUUACCUAAUUCAGAGGCAGGAUCAUAAUGGAAUAUAGAAAGCCCAGUUGCAUCAGGAGAAGAAAGUCCUAGGUCAGCUGCACAGGUGCCUGCAUCUGAUGCCAUAGGUGGUCUAGAAGAAAUCCAAAUCCCCCAGAGGAAUCCUCAUGUCAGACCCCCACAGAUACACGUUCCCAGCCCAAGCUUAAAUCCCGCUGGACACAUUCUCGAGGCAGUGAGUGGCUGGACACAGAAAGUGAAGCUGCCAAACAGCUGCCAACACCAAGGACAGGUCUAGACCAUUAUCCCCAGCUCGAAACCCCCUGACACAGCACACCUCCCACCCCCAACGCCACAGCUCCUUGUGGGAUUUACAGGUUGACCAGAAACUGUAGGGAUGCAUCAUGCUACAAGCAGUCCGUCCAGGCCAGUGGUGUUUCCAGUGUGGUCCAGGUCAGCAAGACUUCCCUGUAGCUCAAAUGGUAAGGAAUCUGCCUGCAAUGCAGGAGACCCAGGUUCAAUCCCUGGGUCGGGAAGAUCCCUGGAGAAGAGAAUGGCAACCCACUCCAGUGUUCUUGCCUGGAGAAUCCCGUGGACAGAGAAGCCUGGCGGGCUACAAUCCAUGGGAUCGCAGAGAGCCAGACACAGCUGAGUGUUAUGUGCCAGGUCAGCAGCAUCAGAGUCACCUGGAAACUUCUGCUCACUGUUGGCUGUAGAAAGGGGCUUCCAAGCCACCACUGCCCUGGAUUUCCUUGUCUUGGGACCCUUUAACUCUGCCACAACACCACGCUGUGUAAACAACCUCCCCCACCUACUUAUAAUGUCAACUUCAUCCAAUAAUAGGUUUCUAUAUAAAACUGGAUUUUUUUAUUCUGGACUCGGUCUUGUGUUCUUGAUCUGCUUUUCCAUUGCCAUCUUAAUUAUAUUAGCAGUAUGUAGUUAAUUGUAUUAGCAGCAUAUAGUUAUAUUAAGAGCAAUACAUAGUAUAACUGUAGUAAUGAUGUAUAUAUGCAACUAUAUAUAAUAUAAGAUAUAUAAUAAAUAAUAUUAAUAGAUGAUAUAAAUAGUAUAAAUAUUAAUUCAUUCUUAAGUAGUAGAGUAUACCACUUUGUUAUAAGUUUUAAUGCCUCUUAGAAUAAAACUCAUUUCUGUCUCUUUUUUAUGUGUCUAUUUUAAAGGCUGUUUUAAAAGAGCAACUAUUUGAAUGGCAGAAGAUUCUCUUGUUUUCUAAAGGAAAGUUAAGUUUUCUAUCUCCCUCUUAAUCAUCUCCCAGUUUGAUGUGACUUUUUAUGUCUUUUGAUUUUCUUAUUCAAACAGCAUACACAUAUGUUUUCUAAAACUGGAUCUAUUUUUAUUAUUCUGUGACUUGCAUUUUUCACUUAGCAGUAUUCCACAGACCUAUCAAUACAUGUGUGUCUAUUUCCUCUGUAUUUUUUUCAACCGUUGUUUCCUUUCAGACUUUUGCUGUUUAAGCAAUGCUGCGAUAAUCAUGCCUGCAGGUGUAUGCAUGCUCAUCUUUUGUAUAAUGCUGCUUUUAUUUCCCCAAGAUGCACUGUUCAAGGUGGAAUUACUGAAUCAAAAAGGACUCAUGAGCAGAGGUGAUGCAAGCCCCUGAUUUGAGAGAAGAGGCUCCCACACCAGGAGACUUGCUGAAUUCUCGGAGAAGAGUCUUCUCGGGAGAGAUGUCCUCCAAAUGGGAGUCUUGUUCAGGAAAAGCCUCCGAGUCCUAAAUGUAUUCCACCUGCAGAAGUCACCCUGCUUGCAGGUGAAUCCAUCCGGGACAGCCUGAUCACGGGAGAAAUGGAGGAGGAAGCCCCGGAAGUCACAGGCAGCUUCUGCUAGUGCCUGUCCCCCUGGUCCAGGUACCACAGAUUCACCCUGCUCUCCUUGUUCCUUGCUGUCUGCUCCUACUCAACAACCUCCUGACAGACUCCUCCACCUAAAACCAGGCUUUGAGUGAGGCUCAGCCCCUUGUCUUCUUCCCCGACCCCCGCUGAGUCUGUGAUCGGAGUAAGAAAUUGAUAAUAAAACACAUACCCCUUCCUAGAAAGGUUCUAUCUGUAGCAGAGACUCCAGAGCCAAAAUACCUGGGCUCAACCCGCAGUUCAGCAAUUUCCUAGCCCUGUAACGCGAGCAAGUUACUUCACCUUCCUGUUCCUUAGUUUCUUGCUCUGUAAGAUGGGAUAAUAAUAGUACCCACUGCCUGGGAUUUGUUAUGAGGAUUCGCUACAGCAAUGUAAGGACCGCACACUGCAAGGCCAGCACUAAGGGACAAUAAGGCUGGACAGUUCCUUAUUGUUUAUUCCAGCUUCUAAUUGAUUUCAGAAAUGGUUUUUGAGAAGAGCUUUCCACAGUUUCUUCCCACACUCAUUUUUAACAUUUUUUGGAAGGAGAAGGACUCUCAGGAACUUGAAAGCCCUGCUGAUACCCGGGAAUCAGUAAGCAGGAACAGAUGAGCGUCUCCUGGGUUUGCAUUUCUGAGCUGCCAUCCCCAGCCCUGCUGCCUCACCAGGUGCCUCCUCCCCGGACUCUCGCCAUCUUCUUAGCUGGAUGGGGGUGAGGGGGCUUGGACCCUGAAGAUGCCUGACAAAAAGGUCACAACCUAUAGACCAAGGCAAACUGGUUGGCCGCUUACAGGUAGGGCCUUGACCUAAGAAUGGGGUCCAUUUUUUUUUUAACUUUUUUUUUUUUAACACCACACCACAAGUUCCCUAUGUUAGUUCCCUGAGCAGAGACAAACCUAUGCCCCUGUAUUGGAAGGGCAGAGUCUUAACCAUUGGAGCACUAGGGAAGUCCCAGGUUCCAUAUUUUUCUUUACAGAAAGAGUUUGGUUGCCUGAGACAAACACCGCUGUGGUGGGGAGCUGUGAGUGACAGGCCGGCACUAACCACCACCCUGAGAUUUCAGACUCGCUUCUCCUUGACAGGACGUCCUCCAAGGACGUCUCCACCGAGUCAGCGCAGCGCUAGAUCCCUCCUCUCAAUCUGGCUGCCGCUGGGGAAUUCUGCCGCCGAAACCACAUCUAUGGCAGCCAUGAAGAAGUCUUUCUUUUUACCCCCUCAAUUUUUUUGUGUGUGUGGGAUUUUGUGGGGGGUGAGGUGGGGCCAGCGCUUUCAUGUUCGUCUUUGGAAUGAAAAUGGCAUCUUUCUUUCAUGAGUAAUAGGCACAGAGGGUUCUGCAAAUCCUUCGGCCUCUCAGAAAUGGCAUGUUCAAAGUCCUAGUUGGGGCGCCUGCCAGGUCAGCGGUCCUCGCUGUUCCCUCAGCUGUGGGUGCCGACGUGAGAAAAUCGAGGCUUCGGGUCCCUCUGCAGAGCUUGUUUCUCAGGGCUGGGUACUUCCCGUUGGCAGAGAGAGUGCCUACGUGGCUUCCCAGAGCUCAGCAGGGAUGAAGUAUGGGAAGUGUGGUACCAGGAUGGUGACAUAGUUUGACAGGUGAUACUGUGUGUGUUCAGGGUUUUGAGCUCCUCUUUAUUGGCUCAUUGAGGUCCUGGCAUCAUUUCCCCUGGGACUGCAUCAAGCAGUGUCUUCUCUCGGUGGUCCUUGUGGUAUCCAGAGGUCUAUCCUGCCCUGGCAACUGUUGUGAACUUGUGUCUCCAAGGUCACAGAGAGGUGGGAGGUUGGGAAAUAAAAAGACUCACCUUUCAGAACACUUUAUCCAAAACCUGGCUCAGGACAUUUGUAAAGCUAUCUCUUUUAUCUUUCUGCCUCUAAGCAAUCAUAGAAAACAAAUGGGGAAAUCUCCUUAUAGCUUUAAACUCUCUGAUACAGGCUCCCCUUCACUUUUUUAAACCAAGGCCAAGGCUCAGCAGCUUUUCCACAGGACUAAGCCUGGAUUCUAAGCCUGGAUUCACCUGGGGUUCUGUCUUUUCAGGGUCCAGGUCUUUAUAUACCUCACGGACUCUGGUUCUGUGAUCCUGGGCUAGAAGCAGUUGGUACCAACACUGCUAAGUACUGAAAACCGAUUUCUCUAUCUGAACCUCCUGUGUUUUCAUAAAAUAGCUUUUCCUUACAUACAUUUUUUUGUUUGGUUGUUUUUUUGCAUUCAUUGGCUUAUAAGGAUUGUUAAUGGCUGUUUUUGAAUAUUUAAUAAAUUCAAAGAUUAAUGAAUGGGUCAUUAGCUCUAGAUUUUAAUCCCAUCUUAGUGAAGCAUCUAGCAGCCCCUGUUUGGCACCUUCAACCCUUCCCUUGUUUUGAGCAAAGUGGCACCGUAGCCUGGUCGCGCCCUGGAGACCCGUGUGUGCACCUCGUGUCCUCAAGGACUGGGAGGGUCCGCAGAGCAGCUCCCAGAGGCCACGAUCCC